GCUGGCGGCGUGCUUAACACAUGCAAGUCGAACGAGGUCCAUGGAGCUUGCUCCGGCAAGACUUAGUGGCGAACGGGUGCGUAACACGUGAGAAACCUGCCCCGGACUUGGGAAUAACAGUCGGAAACGAUUGCUAAUACCGAAUACCUUCACACCGUCGCAUGGCGGAGUGAAGAAAGCUUUUGCGGUCUGGGAGGGUCUCGCGGCCUAUCAGCUUGUUGGUGAGGUAACGGCUCACCAAGGCAUCGACGGGUAGCUGGUCUGAGAGGAUGAUCAGCCACACUGGGACUGAGACACGGCCCAGACUCCUACGGGAGGCAGCAGUGGGGAAUAUUGCACAAUGGGCGCAGGCCUGAUGCAGCAACGCCGCGUGCGGGAAGAAGGCCCUAGGGUUGUAAACCGCUUUCAGCAGGGAAGAAACUGACGGUACCUGCAGAAGAAGGUGCGGCCAACUACGUGCCAGCAGCCGCGGUGACACGUAGGCACCAAGCGUUGUCCGGAUUUAUUGGGCGUAAAGAGCUCGUAGGCGGUUCGGUAAGUCGGGUGUGAAAACUCUGGGCUCAACCCAGAGAGGCCACCCGAUACUGCUGUGACUUGAGUACGGUAGGG
RNAcentral lists this ribosomal RNA (609 nucleotides) under uncultured Actinomycetes bacterium. RNAcentral describes it as "bacterial SSU rRNA". It matches the Rfam family "Bacterial small subunit ribosomal RNA", at positions 35 to 656 of the family's 1533-position model. The record is from RNAcentral. Lineage: Bacteria; Bacillati; Actinomycetota; Actinomycetes.